AUUGAACGCUGGCGGCAGGCCUAACACAUGCAAGUCGAACGGUAGCACAGAGAGCUUGCUCUCGGGUGACGAGUGGCGGACGGGUGAGUAAUGUCUGGGAAACUGCCCGAUGGAGGGGGAUAACUACUGGAAACGGUAGCUAAUACCGCAUAAUGUCGCAAGACCAAGAGGGGGACCUUCGGGCCUCUUGCCAUCGGAUGUGCCCAGAUGGGAUUAGCUUGUUGGUGAGGUAAUGGCUCACCAAGGCGACGUUCCCUAGCUGGUCUGAGAGGAUGACCAGCCACACUGGAACUGAGACACGGUCCAGACUCCUACGGGAGGCAGCAGUGGGGAAUAUUGCACAAUGGGCGCAAGCCUGAUGCAGCCAUGCCGCGUGUGUGAAGAAGGCCUUCGGGUUGUAAAGCACUUUCAGCGGGGAGGAAGGCGAUACGGUUAAUAACCGUGUUGAUUGACGUUACCCGCAGAAGAAGCACCGGCUAACUCCGUG
RNAcentral lists this ribosomal RNA (487 nucleotides) under uncultured bacterium. Its description in RNAcentral is "partial 16S ribosomal RNA". It matches the Rfam family "Bacterial small subunit ribosomal RNA", at positions 30 to 507 of the family's 1533-position model. The record is from RNAcentral.